GACGAACGCUGGCGGCGUGCUUAACACAUGCAAGUCGAACGGAAAGGCCCUGCUUUUGUGGGGUGCUCGAGUGGCGAACGGGUGAGUAACACGUGAGUAACCUGCCCUUGACUUUGGGAUAACUUCAGGAAACUGGGGCUAAUACCGGAUAGGAGCUCCUGCUGCAUGGGGGGGGUUGGAAAGUUUCGGCGGUUUGGGAUGGACUCGCGGCUUAUCAGCUUGUUGGUGGGGUAGUGGCUUACCAGGGCUUUGACGGGUAGCCGGCCUGAGAGGGUGACCGGCCACAUUGGGCCUGCGAUACGGCCCAGACGCCUACGGGAGGCAGCAGUGGGGAAUAUUGCACAAUGGGCGGAAGCCUGAUGCAGCAGCGCCGCGUGCGGGAUGACGGCCUUCGGGUUGUAAACCGCUUUCGCCUGUGACGAAGCGUGAGUGACGGUAAUGGGUAAAGAAGCACCGGCUAACUACGUG
Molecule: ribosomal RNA, 468 nt
Filed under: uncultured bacterium
Lineage: Bacteria
Description: partial 16S ribosomal RNA
Rfam family: Bacterial small subunit ribosomal RNA
Source: RNAcentral